UCAUACACUGGGCAAACCCGGUGAAAACCGGGGGCGCAAAGCCGUGGGUCUAAGGUGCAAAUCUGCGUUAUGAUUGCCAGGCUGCAAGU
RNAcentral lists this non-coding RNA (89 nucleotides) under Desulfoscipio geothermicus. RNAcentral describes it as "GEMM cis-regulatory element". It matches the Rfam family "c-di-GMP-I riboswitch aptamer". Rfam says of the family: GEMM was predicted in a large-scale screen for bacterial structured RNA regulatory elements. Genes associated with GEMM are involved in a diverse array of functions, including chemotaxis regulation, signal transduction, secretion and chitin. RNAcentral also lists the same sequence under 1 other name. The record is from RNAcentral. Lineage: Bacteria; Bacillati; Bacillota; Clostridia; Eubacteriales; Desulfallaceae.